This 99-nucleotide signal recognition particle RNA is filed under the name Bacteroidales bacterium. RNAcentral describes it as "signal recognition particle sRNA small type". It matches the Rfam family "Bacteroidales small SRP". Rfam says of the family: The non-coding component of the signal recognition particle in Bacteroides Lineage: Bacteria; Pseudomonadati; Bacteroidota; Bacteroidia; Bacteroidales. The record is from RNAcentral.
GGGUAAGUCCUAUACGACCAGCUCGCUUUUAACUCCCCCAGGGCCUGACCGCAGCAAGGGUAGAAGCUUGAGCGGUGCGAUAUAGUAAGCUUACCUUUU